AUUGAACGCUGGCGGCAGGCCUAACACAUGCAAGUCGAACGGUAACAGGCAGCAGCUUGCUGCUUUGCUGACGAGUGGCGGACGGGUGAGUAAUGUCUGGGAAACUGCCCGAUGGAGGAGGAUAACUACUGGAAACGGUAGCUAAUACCGCAUAACGUCGCCUGCCCAAAGGGGGGUAGCUUGGUGCCUCUUUCCAUCGGGGGCUCCCAGCUGGUAUGAGCUAGGAGGUGGGGUAGGGGCUCACCUUGGUGACGAUGCGUAGCUGAUAUGAGAGGAUGACCGGCCACACUGGAGCUGAGACACGGUCAAGACUCCUACGGGAGGCAGCAGUGGGGAAUAGUGCACAGUGGGCGGGAGCCUGAUGCAGCGAUGCGGAGUGUAUGAAGAAGGCCUUGGGGUUGUAAAGUACUUUCAGCGGGGAGGAAGGGAGUAAAGUUAAGACCAUGGGUCAUUGACGUUACCCGCAGAAGAAGCACCGGCUAACUCCGUG
RNAcentral lists this ribosomal RNA (490 nucleotides) under uncultured bacterium. Its description in RNAcentral is "partial 16S ribosomal RNA". It matches the Rfam family "Bacterial small subunit ribosomal RNA", at positions 29 to 507 of the family's 1533-position model. The record is from RNAcentral.